GGUAAAAUGGCAAAACAAGAUAAAAAUGGCAGUUUAGUAAUUUUGAUAGAGGAUCUAUAAGUCCUUAUGAGAACCGAGGAAAGGCAAAAUCAUACCCAACAGAAUUGGUAGGGAUCGAACAAAAGGAAGUUGAAUUCUGUAUAGCAACAAGAACAAGAAACACGAGUGGCUCAUUGGUUUCCAAAAGAUCAUACCUAAUAGAAUUGGCAGGGAUCAGAAUCAAAAGGGAAAUAUGGCACGAAUUUUCUCUUUUUUUUUUUUUUUUU
This 266-nucleotide unclassified non-coding RNA is filed under the name Hevea brasiliensis (rubber tree). The record is from RNAcentral. Lineage: Eukaryota; Viridiplantae; Streptophyta; Magnoliopsida; Malpighiales; Euphorbiaceae.